UCUGUGGAUAUGGAGUUUGUGGGGAUCUGUGUGUGGGGGCAGGGUGGUUGGAGUGUGUGAAGAGCUGUGGAUGUGUGGGUCUGUGUGUAUGGCAGUGCAAAGGGGGGUAUGGGUGCAUGUGUUUAGGGGGAUGUGCAUGUGGGACUUACCUUACGUGUAUGCACGCACAAACACACACACGCGCGUGCGCGUGCGCACACGCACGCAUGCACGCACUCUGUCCCUCCCUCAUUACUCUCUCUGUGUCUCUCUCCCCCUCCAUCAUUGCAGAGGCAUGCACACACACAUACACACACUCCUCCCACUCUUGGCCUUUGCGUACCGGCAUGGGCCCUAUGGUCCCACAGUCCAGCGAUGAAGCCAGAAGCCAUGUGGUUCUGGAGUGACUGGUGAGCCGGCAGAAAAGUUGGGAAACGGCAGCUACAGGUGGCAGGAGUGGCAGCAAGUGGGCAUGCAGGAACACAGCGACAAGCUGUGUGGGAGCACAGGACCCAUACUGGUGUCCUGGGACCAGCACCAGCAGGUCCCAGAAUGGGGUAGCAGAAGCACGGGGCUGAGUGGGUAGGGCUCUAUGGAGCCAGGCUGGCUGCCCUUUCUCCCUACUGGCACAACCUGGCCCAGCUCCAUAGAGCACCUGCCAGCCCGGGCUCUGCACUCCUGCCACCCUGCUGUGGACCCUGCUGGUGCUGGCCCCAGGACACCAGCAUGGGCCCCAUGCUCCCACCCAACUGUCUGCGCUCCUGCAUGCCCACUCACUCCCACUCUCCAUCGCCUGCCACCACUUUCACUGUUUUACUGCCCGCUGCCAUGGCACUCCAGCACCACAUGGUUCCUGGCUGCAUGGCAGCAACCGCGGGACUCAGCAGGAGCCAGCCUGGCCCCAAGGACUGGGGCAAUCACCCACAGUCCUCCCCUCCCUCGUUAUCUGUGUUGCCCUCUCAGGCAGAGGGAGGUGGGAACAGUCCCAGGCCAAAAGCCUCUGGUAGGCAGAGGCUUCUAGUUGUGGGGGCCAGGCCUGACAGGCCUUGCUGCUAGGCCCUGCCUCUGGCUUCCCCUGGGUCCUACUGCCCCUGGCUCCUGUCAUCUUUCACAGGCAGCCAGGAGCAGAUAAAUAUUAAUUUUCUAAAUUUUUUAGGGACUCUGCAGGCCUGAUAGAAUGGCCUGGUGGGCCGAAUCCAGCCCACAGGACAUAUUUUGCUGACCCCUGAACUAACAGAUUAAUUAGAAAACCUGAAUGUUGGCUAAAAGAAUAUCAUUUCUCAGGAUUAAACAGUCAAGUUCUAACUGAUAAGCUAUACAUGUGUGAUCUUUCAGACAACUAAGUAGUUUAACUUAGGGCUGUUUUUUGUAGUUGCAAAAUUAUUUUAUAGAGGCCAUUCUUAGGUAACUUCUGCAGGAACACUGCACAUGUACAUACAGAGCAUGUUUACACAUGAUGCUAUGUUACUAUGGUGACAGUGUCAAUGGGCAAAACCUGUGACCCUGCAGCUACGUCACCAUAGCAACAUGUCCCCCCCAUUAUAGUGCAUCACCAUACGCAAUGUAGUGCCUAAAAAUAACCGUGUGCAGUGUGCACAGUGCAAUACAGGCUAUUACUAUGCCAUUUUUUAGGACUUCCAAAAGGAAGUCCUAAAAAAUGGUGCAGUAACAAUGGCACCGCAAAUGUCAUAAAAACAAAAAUGCAAUCAAUGCUUUGACAACAGAGUAAGGUACAACAAAAGGAUCAGAGUCCUUACCUAUGCAUAGGCUGCCACAAGGCCCUCUUGAAAAUUCCUGUGAAAAUCUCCCAGGGUCAAUCGCCCCUCAGUCACAGCUUCAACUGGGGACCUGCAUUCCCCACUCUUCCUGCAGGGAGCCUCCUCUACCAGCCACUGCCUCCAGAACAUUCCAUAUUGCCUCCCCCACCACCCAUCUUCAGGGGUGCCAGAGAAUACUUUUGAGUGUUGCUGCCUGUGGACCCGUGACAGUGGUGUUCUGCCUUUCUGCUCCCCUUUGAAAAAUCCUCCUCAAAAGCUGUUGGACACAUUCUUGGGAUUAAACUUUAUAGAGUAAAAAACCAUUUGCUCCAAAAAUCAUAAAUGUGGGGUUCAGUGUUCAAACAAAAAUCCCAUUCAUUGAGUCAAUGGGAUUUAGGCUCUUAAAUAAUGUACACACAUUUGAAAAUUUUACCCUCAAUCUGAAAACACUAAAACUAAUUGAAGUGUUAAUGGGCGUUUGUAGGCAACACAACAUUUAGUCCUUGUUAAUUAACUGCGCCUUUAAAAUUCUAGCCUGGAUUACUUUGGUGCGCUGUGUUUGUGUUUGAACGACAUGGUUUUUCAAGCGACAUAAGUCCCGUGUGUCAUUCCCUGCAGAUUCCAGCAGGGGGAGCCAAAUACCAAUCUACGUCCUCCCCACCCCCAAUGUCUUUCUUAAUGAAUUACAGCAGGAAGCACAUGUUAAGCAGCCUCCACAGUUCCUGCCUCUAGCCCCACCCCACCCGUAGUCUCCUGCUAAGUUCCCCCCACCCUGCAGUUGGGCACAUUCACCCCAAAACCCUGCCAUUUGCACCCACCUAAGCUAAGUCCCCCCCUACCCCGCAGCUGGGCACAUUCACCGGAAAACAACCCUGCCACUUGCACCCUUCCAUCCACGGGGUGAGACAGACAGGCACAGAUGUAAAUUGUAAAAGAAUUUAUUGUAAUCUAACCAAAAGAAAGAACAAAGCACUGCUAUUCUAUGCUCCCAAGCAAUCCCAUACUUGCGCCACCUCUCCCAACCAGCCUCUCCUGAGGAUGUCUCCUCGGUCCCUGUACUGCUUGCAAAAUCCACCUGGGAAGCCACCAGACACUUUGCAAAGUCUCCUACAGAGGCUGAUGCCUGGCCAGUCUGCUCUGCCUCUGGGGCUUGCAUCUGACUGUCCUGCACAGACCCCAGAACUUUGGCACAAAACCCAGAAACUUUGCGCACACACAGCUUCCUGCCACUUUUCCCGCCUUUUCACACUCUUUUCCACCCUGGCACCAAACUGUCUGGGUUUUUUUCACACCAAAAUGAGGCCGGGUGAGGGGGCGGAACCUGCCCCAUUCAAGGCCUGUAAAUUUCGGGAACAGUAGUCACACUGCACGUUCGUAGUAUCGACAAGAGAGGGGAGGCGGAUGAAACGUGGCUAAACACCAGACGCAGAAAAAAUGGGAAUACAGCAUUCAACAAGACUGCAGGCCACAGAACUGGGGUGCAGGAAAUCGUCAAGUCCCUGGAUGAGCGCAGCUUUAGGAUGUGUGAAAGAAAGCGGCACCGCUAGGUAUUCAUUGGUAAGUGAGGGUGGAGGGGGUCGAUUGUUUACUUCAACUUUCUUGUAAAACCGGUUUGUUGGAAUGUUUUAUUUGUAGCUGGUACACGUUGGUUUUCAGUAAAAAAUCCUAUCCUGUUUUUCUGUGCUUUCAUGGUAGCUCUAUAGUGGCUGCUCCUGGAAGAGAAAAAGGCCAUUUCCUUCAGCAUUCUCUGAACUAUAUGCCAUAGUACCAUUCCCUUCCUAGCUGCAUGCUGUUCCCAGAGCAGCAAGAGAAGAUAAAGAAGUGGAAGAGCCUAAGAGACACUUUGUUCAGCAUUCUCUGAAACAGUAUGCUAUUGCAUAGUAUAGCAUGUUUAUACUUAUAGUAGACUUUUAUUAUAUAGACUCAUAUAUAGACGUAUAUUGUAUAUACCCUGAUGUCUGUAGACUUAUACUAUAUAGACUGUAUAUUGUAGACAUAUACUAUAUAGAUUUAUAAUAAAUAUAAGUUGUUAUAAGUAGAAUAUAAUUAUAAUAUAAUAAUCAUACACACACAUACACACUUAUAUGUACAUUUAGGGAAAGAAUCUUUGGAGUUAGCAGUCAUUUUCUCUGAACUUCCUGACUGAUGUGUAGUUUCCUCCUCUUGGGGGAAGAAAAAGGAGGUCACCCACUGUCAAUCCUUCCUCUUAUAGCCAUGCUGCAUUACUCUAUGUCCUACCAGGGAGGUUAUUUAGUAACCCAUGUGAACCCAUGUAAACAUUUGUAAGUACAUUUGUAACCCAUGUAAACGAUGUAACCCAAAUGUAAACCAUGUAAUACAAAUGUAAGUACAAAUGUAACUCACUCUUGCUUUUGCUAUAAAAAAGAAAACCAAAUAAAGACAGUAAUGGAUUAACGGGUUGUUGAAAGACAA
This is a long non-coding RNA of Alligator mississippiensis (American alligator), 4169 nucleotides long. RefSeq lists it as uncharacterized. The transcript is spliced from 2 exons. The record is from RefSeq and is a predicted model, not a curated record. Lineage: Eukaryota; Metazoa; Chordata; Crocodylia; Alligatoridae.